Molecule: ribosomal RNA, 253 nt
Filed under: uncultured microorganism
Description: partial 16S ribosomal RNA
Rfam family: Bacterial small subunit ribosomal RNA
Source: RNAcentral
UACGUAGGUCCCGAGCGUUGUCCGGAUUUAUUGGGCGUAAAGAGCACGUAGGCGGGGAUUUAAGUCAGGUGUGAAAGACCGCGGCCCAACUGCGGGGUUGCACUUGAAACUGAAUAUCUUGAGGGCAGGAGAGGUCAGUGGAAUUCCUGGUGUAGCGGUGAAAUGCGUAGAUAUCAGGAGGAACACCAGUGGCGAAGGCGACUGACUGGACUGACCCUGACGCUGAGGUGCGAAAGCGUGGGUAGCAAACAGG